AAGUCGUAACAAGGUUUCCGUAGGUGAACCUGCGGAAGGAUCAUUAACGAACGGUGAUCGGUCGCGGUUGUCGCUGGCCCCUCUUUGCGGGGGGGCAUGUGCACAUCGCUCCGAAAACGAUCUUAAACCUGUGCACCAAUGGCGGAGAAAGGAGGAGGCUCUCUCGGGCCUUUUCCCAUCCUGCUUUAUCACACACCCUGCAUGUCUAGAAUGUCCUUUGCGUUCGUCGCAAUUAUAUAUAACUUUCAGCAACGGAUCUCUUGGCUCUC
Molecule: unclassified non-coding RNA, 269 nt
Filed under: air metagenome
Description: partial contains small subunit ribosomal RNA, internal transcribed spacer 1, and 5.8S ribosomal RNA
Rfam family: Eukaryotic small subunit ribosomal RNA (bases 1-46)
Source: RNAcentral